GAUGAAGAACGAAGCGAAAUGCGAUAAGUAAUGUGAAUUGCAGAAUUCAGUGAAUCAUCGAAUCUUUGAACGCACAUUGCGCCCCCUGGUAUUCCGGGGGGCAUGCCUGUCCGAGCGUCAUUACAACCCUCAAGCUCAGCUUGGUGUUGGGCCCCGCCGCCCCGGCGGGCCCUAAAGUCAGUGGCGGUGCCGUCCGGCUCCGAGCGUAGUAAUUCUUCUCGCUCUGGAGGUCCGGUCGUGUGCUCGCCAGCAACCCCCAAUUUUUUUCAGGUUGACCUCGGAUCAGGGAGGGAUACCCGCUGAACUUAAGCAUAUCAAUAAGCGGAGGA
RNAcentral lists this unclassified non-coding RNA (329 nucleotides) under soil metagenome. Its description in RNAcentral is "partial contains 5.8S ribosomal RNA, internal transcribed spacer 2, and large subunit ribosomal RNA". The stretch from base 1 to 120 matches the Rfam family "5.8S ribosomal RNA", at positions 35 to 154 of the family's 154-position model. The record is from RNAcentral.